RNAcentral lists this transfer RNA (65 nucleotides) under Euphyllura phillyreae. RNAcentral describes it as "tRNA-Ala". The record is from RNAcentral. Lineage: Eukaryota; Metazoa; Arthropoda; Insecta; Hemiptera; Liviidae.
GGGUUAAAGUUUAUACUUAAAUAUCUAUUUUGCAUAUAGAAGAAUAGAAAAUUCUAUAACCUGAA